RNAcentral lists this transfer RNA (71 nucleotides) under Geoscapheus robustus. Its description in RNAcentral is "tRNA-Lys". The record is from RNAcentral. Lineage: Eukaryota; Metazoa; Arthropoda; Insecta; Blattodea; Blaberidae.
CAUUAGAUGACUGAAAGCAAGUAAUGGUCUCUUAAACCAAAAAAUAGUAACCUAGCAAUUACUUCUAAUGA